Molecule: ribosomal RNA, 351 nt
Filed under: uncultured bacterium
Lineage: Bacteria
Description: partial 16S ribosomal RNA
Rfam family: Bacterial small subunit ribosomal RNA
Source: RNAcentral
CCUACGGGAGGCAGCAGUGAGGAAUAUUGGUCAAUGGGCGGAAGCCUGAACCAGCCAAGUCGCGUGAGGGAUUAAGGCCCUGCGGGUCGUAAACCUCUUUUGCCGGGGAGCAGUGGUCCGGACGCGUCCGGACCGGGAGAGUACCCGGCGAACAAGCAUCGGCUAACUCCGUGCCAGCAGCCGCGUUAAUACGCAGGAGGCGAGCGUUAUCCGGAGUUAUUGGGUUUAAAGGGUGCGUAGGCGGGCAUUUAAGCCGGCGGUCAAAUAGCGGGGCUCACCCCCGGCCUGCCGUCGGAACUGGGUGCGUUGAGUGGGAGAGAAGUAUGGGGAAUGCGUGGUGUAGCGGUGAAA